This 207-nucleotide ribosomal RNA is filed under the name uncultured bacterium. Its description in RNAcentral is "partial 16S ribosomal RNA". It matches the Rfam family "Bacterial small subunit ribosomal RNA", at positions 568 to 774 of the family's 1533-position model. The record is from RNAcentral.
AGCGUAGGCGGUUUCUUAAGUCUGAUGUGAAAGCCUUCGGCUUAACCGGAGAAGAGCAUAGGAAACUGGGAGACUUGAGUGCAGAAAAGGACAGUGGAACUCCAUGUGUAGCGGUGAAAUGCGUAGAUAUAUGGAAGAACACCAGUGGCGAAGGCGGCUGUCUGGUCUGUAACUGACGCUGAGGCUCGAAAGCAUGGGUAGCAAACA